UACGGGGGGGGGCAAGCGUUGUUCGGAAUUACUGGGCGUAAAGGGCUCGUAGGCGGCCAACUAAGUCGGACGUGAAAUCCCUCGGCUUAACCGAGGAACUGCGUCCGAUACUGGAUGGCUUGAGUGUGGGAGAGGGAUGCGGAAUUCCUGGUGUAGCGGUGAAAUGCGCAGAUAUCAGGAGGAACACCGGUGGCGAAGGCGGGUCUCUGGGCCGAUACUGACGCUGAGGAGCGAAAGCGUGGGGAGCGAACAGG
This 254-nucleotide ribosomal RNA is filed under the name uncultured bacterium. RNAcentral describes it as "partial 16S ribosomal RNA". It matches the Rfam family "Bacterial small subunit ribosomal RNA", at positions 524 to 776 of the family's 1533-position model. The record is from RNAcentral.